This 465-nucleotide ribosomal RNA is filed under the name uncultured bacterium. Its description in RNAcentral is "bacterial SSU rRNA". It matches the Rfam family "Bacterial small subunit ribosomal RNA", at positions 338 to 795 of the family's 1533-position model. The record is from RNAcentral.
CCUACGGGUGGCACCAGUAGGGAAUCUUCCGCAAUGGACGAAAGUCUGACGGAGCAACGCCGCGUGAGUGAUGAAGGCUCUCGGGUCGUAAAACUCUGUUGUUAGGGAAGAACAAGUGCUAGUUGAAUAAGCUGCACCUUGACGGUACCUAACCAGAAAGCCACGGCUAACUACGUGCCAGCAGCCGCGGUAAUACGUAGGUGGCAAGCGUUAUCCGGAAUUAUUGGGCGUAAAGCGCGCGCAGGUGGUUUCUUAAGUCUGAUGUGAAAGCCCACGGCUCAACCGUGGAGGGUCAUUGGAAACUGGGAGACUUGAGUGCAGAAGAGGAAAGUGGAAUUCCAUGUGUAGCGGUGAAAUGCGUAGAGAUAUGGAGGAACACCAGUGGCGAAGGCGACUUUCUGGUCUGUAACUGACACUGAGGCGCGAAAGCGUGGGGAGCAAACAGGAUUAGAUACCCGAGUAGUC